CUUUGAAGGGUAAAUGAGCUGGGUCAGCACAUGACAAGGGCAGAAGGAGUUACUUUUAAAAGUGAACAGGAGGUGUGGUGAAACCAAAGUUGUUGUUUAUUCGAUAGCCGACAGCAGGAAACGGAUCCUCAAGCCAGUUCCGGUUACCGGGCUCCUCGGACUUGGAGAGGAACUAGAGUUGCACCUUGUUAUGCCAUCACUCAAGUGCAACUGAAGUUUCUGAUGUCCUGUGUUUUCAGUGUGGCAGAUAUUCUACGUGUCCCGAUCGACAGUCAAACUUUGACUAAGACACUUCAAUCUGUCACAUGUACUGUAUAUUCUGACAUGUCAGACUUGGCUCUGGAUGAAAAGAUGAAGGACUUGGUGGCAGGGAACGACAAACAUGGACCGGGGGCUGUUCAAGCACAUUUAAGGGCUCUGGGUGCAGAUACGCAGAGUGAGGGACAGCAUGCUUCGUGUUAACCCGAGGGUGGCUGCCCUCAAAGCCAUGUCGCAGAGGCUGCAUAGAAGAUCAUACCAUGUUGCUGGACCAAACUCGUUAUGGCACCUUGAUGGAAAUCACAAACUGAUAAGGUAGAUGUAUCUUUGUGAUAGACACAAUUAUCUAUAUCACUGGUGAGAAGUUGUACAUUGUAACAUCUCAAAUUGUUCAUCAAACAACUAACAGUUCAGUAAGCAAUGGCCCUUGAUACCAUAUGUCACUCAUGUGGAUAAUAAUUGUUUUAUUGUGUUUCUGCUAUUUCUGUGAUUGAUAGAAUAUCUGCAUCAUGAAAUUAACAAACAUGCUUAUAUUGAGGACGUCCGGAGGCUUAAACAGUUGGAGCAAAGUAUUUGUGCCUAAGUGUGAACAACAGGAAUGUGGUUAUUUUUCCAAUUGAAGUAGAUAUUGUAAUCACACAUCUUUCAGGAAAGGAAACAGUCUAGAACAAACCUUUGUUGUAGCCUUUAGAGGGCUAACGGAAGUACUUAUAGUUGUGAUCCGCGGUAGACUGUUUUAUUAACGUUGUUCCACAUUUUGGAUGUUAAUGUAAUAUUUGGUCUGCUGCUUAGUUAAAUACCACAGGAACCUGAUGCAUCAUCUAAGUGGUAAAGGAGGAUGGUGAUGUUUGUAUAUUUAAUGUGUCUUCAGCUUUUGUAUCAACCAGUACAUGGUGGCGUUGAUGGGUACAGCUGUCUUGUUGUUCCUCCGUGCUUCCAGCAACAAUCGCAGCAGUACUGUAAUGGAUUGCCUCAAGAAUGCUGUCUCCAGAAAUGGCGUUCCCUCCAGAGUUAGAACGGACCAUGGAGGAGAAAACAACACUGUCUCCAGAUAUGGCGUUCCCUCCAGUUAGAAUGGACCAUGGAGGAGAAAACAACACUGUCUCCAGAUAUGGCGUUCCCUCCAGAGUUAGAACGGACCAUGGAGGAGAAAACAACACUGUCUCCAGAUAUGGCGUUCCCUCCAGUUAGAACGGACCAUGGAGGAGAAAACAACACUGUCUCCAGAUAUGGCGUUCCCUCCAGUUAGAACGGACCAUGGAGGAGAAAACAACACUGUCUCCAGAAAUGGCGUUCCCUCCAGAGUUAGAACGGACCAUGGAGGAGAAAACAACACUGUCUCCAGAUAUGGCGUUCCCUCCAGUUAGAAUGGACCAUGGAGGAGAAAACAACACUGUCUCCAGAUAUGGCGUUCCCUCCAGAGUUAGAACGGACCAUGGAGGAGAAAACAACACUGUCUCCAGAUAUGGCGUUCCCUCCAGUUAGAACGGACCAUGGAGGAGAAAACAACACUGUCUCCAGAUAUGGCGUUCCCUCCAGUUAGAACGGACCAUGGAGGAGAAAACAACACUGUCUCCAGAAAUGGCGUUCCCUCCAGAGUUAGAACGGACCAUGGAGGAGAAAACAACACUGUCUCCAGAUAUGGCGUUCCCUCCAGUUAGAAUGGACCAUGGAGGAGAAAACAACACUGU
This is a long non-coding RNA of Oncorhynchus gorbuscha (pink salmon), 1949 nucleotides long. RefSeq lists it as uncharacterized. The record is from RefSeq and is a predicted model, not a curated record. NCBI's taxonomy places the organism in Eukaryota, Metazoa, Chordata, Actinopteri, Salmoniformes, Salmonidae. The transcript has 3 exons.